GAUGAACGCUGGCGGCGUGCUUAACACAUGCAAGUCGAACGAAGCACUUUAUUUGAUUUCCUUCGGGACUGAUUAUUUUGUGACUGAGUGGCGGACGGGUGAGUAACGCGUGGGUAACCUGCCUUGUACAGGGGGAUAACAGUUGGAAACGGCUGCUAAUACCGCAUAAGCGCACAGCAUCGCAUGAUGCAGUGUGAAAAACUCCGGUGGUAUAAGAUGGACCCGCGUUGGAUUAGCUAGUUGGUGAGGUAACGGCCCACCAAGGCGACGAUCCAUAGCCGACGUGAGAGGGUGACCGGCCACAUUGGGACUGAGCCACGGCCCAAACUCCUACGGGAGGCGGCAGUGGGGAAUAUUGCACAAUGGGCGAAAGCCUGAUGCAGCGACGCCGCGUGAGCGAAGAAGUAUUUCGGUAUGUAAAGCUCUAUCAGCAGGGGAGGUAAUGACGGUACCUGACUAAGAAGCACCGGCUAAAUACGUG
This 481-nucleotide ribosomal RNA is filed under the name uncultured bacterium. RNAcentral's name for it is "partial 16S ribosomal RNA". It matches the Rfam family "Bacterial small subunit ribosomal RNA", at positions 28 to 507 of the family's 1533-position model. The record is from RNAcentral.